This 69-nucleotide transfer RNA is filed under the name Urocitellus parryii (Arctic ground squirrel). RNAcentral's name for it is "Spermophilus parryii (Arctic ground squirrel) tRNA". It matches the Rfam family "tRNA". Rfam says of the family: Transfer RNA (tRNA) molecules are approximately 80 nucleotides in length. Their secondary structure includes four short double-helical elements and three loops (D, anti-codon, and T loops). RNAcentral also lists the same sequence under 1 other name. Lineage: Eukaryota; Metazoa; Chordata; Mammalia; Rodentia; Sciuridae. The record is from Rfam by way of RNAcentral.
GGGAUUGUGGCUCAGUGGUAGAGCGCUUGCCUAGCAUGUGCAAGUUCCUGGGUUCGAUCCUCAGCACCA